RNAcentral lists this ribosomal RNA (421 nucleotides) under uncultured bacterium. RNAcentral describes it as "partial 16S ribosomal RNA". It matches the Rfam family "Bacterial small subunit ribosomal RNA", at positions 360 to 773 of the family's 1533-position model. The record is from RNAcentral.
AAUCUUCCACAAUGGACGGAAGUCUGAUGGAGUAACGCCGCGUGAGCGAAGAAGGUCUUCGGAUCGUAAAGCUCUGUUGUAAGGGAAGAAUAAGUACAGUAGUAACUGGUUGUACCUUUACGGUACCUUCUGUGAAAGUCACGGCUAACUACCUGCCACCAGCCGCGGUAAUACGUAGGUGGCAAGCGUUGUCCGAAAUUUUUGGGCGUAAAGCGCGCGAAGGCGGCCUUUUAAGGCUGAUGGGAAAGCCCCCGGCUUAACCGGGGAGGGUCAUUGGAAACUGGGAGGCUUGAGUGCAGAAGAGGAAAGUGGAAUUCCAAGUGUAGCGGUGAAAUGCGUAGAGAUUUGGAGGAACACCAGUGGCGAAGGCGACUUUCUGGUCUGUCACUGACGCUGAGGCGCGAAAGCGUGGGGAGCAAAC